GUUGAGGCUCUUGACGAUCUGCUGCGCCGUGGCCAAGACCCGAUCGUCAGCGCCGCCGCCUAGACUGGUGGUAGUAGUGGUGGCCAUUUCCUUUUAGUUAUCAAUUUUUAGGGUUUUUGGGGGUGUGCGAGAAGGGGAAUUGGGAGGCAAAUUUGGGGAUUGGGAUUGGAGUAGAUUAGAGAUUUUGUGGUGGCGAUGAUGGCGUUAAGGUCAUUUCUCUUUCAAUUUUCCUUUUUCUUUAAUUUUCUGGGAUUGAGUAAAGACAAGAGAAGUAGAAAAGAAAAGUAAAGAAGUGUUUGGCCGGCUGGGGUUGUGUUAAUGGUGUGAACCGUGAAAGGAGAGGGAGGGGGAAAGGUGAGGAGACAGGAAUGAAGAGUAACUACAGCUUCCAAGCCUUACUACGGCCUUUG
This 410-nucleotide unclassified non-coding RNA is filed under the name Hevea brasiliensis (rubber tree). Lineage: Eukaryota; Viridiplantae; Streptophyta; Magnoliopsida; Malpighiales; Euphorbiaceae. The record is from RNAcentral.